CUCCGGUUGAUCCUGCGGGACCCGACUGCUAUCAGAGUGGGACUAAGCCAUGCGAGUCAACAUAGCAAUAUGUGGCAUACGGCUCAGUAACACGUAGUCAACAUGCCCAGGGGACGUGGAUAACCUCGGGAAACUGAGGAUAAACCGCGAUAGGUCAUCACUUCUGGAAUGGGUAAUGACUUAAAUCUAUAUGGCCCCUGGAUUGGACUGCGGCCGAUCAGGCUGUUGGUGAGGUAAUGGCCCACCAAACCUGUAACCGGUACGGGCUCUGAGAGGAGGAGCCCGGAGAUGGGCACUGAGACAAGGGCCCAGGCCCUAUGGGGCGCAGCAGGCGCGAAACCUCUGCAAUAGGCGAAAGCUUGACAGGGUUACUCUGAGUGAUUUCCGUUAAGGAGAUCUUUUGGCACCUCUAAAAAUGGUGCAGAAUAAGGGGUGGGCAAGUCUGGUGUCAGCCGCCGCGGUAAUACCAGCACCCCGAGUGGUCGGGACGUUUAUUGGGCCUAAAGCAUCCGUAGCCGGUUCUACAAGUCUUCCGUUAAAUCCACCUGCUUAACAGAUGGGCUGCGGAAGAUACUAUAGAGCUAGGAGGCGGGAGAGGCAAGCGGUACUCGAUGGGUAGGGGUAAAAUCCGUUGAUCCAUUGAAGACCACCAGUGGCGAAGGCGGCUUGCCAGAACGCGCUCGACGGUGAGGGAUGAAAGCUGGGGGAGCAAACCGGAUUAGAUACCCGGGUAGUCCCAGCUGUAAACGAUGCAGACUCGGUGAUGAGUUGGCUUAUUGCUAACUCAGUGCCGCAGGGAAGCCGUUAAGUUUGCCGCCUGGGGAGUACGGUCGCAAGACUGAAACUUAAAGGAAUUGGCGGGGGAGCA
RNAcentral lists this ribosomal RNA (868 nucleotides) under uncultured archaeon. RNAcentral describes it as "bacterial SSU rRNA". It matches the Rfam family "Archaeal small subunit ribosomal RNA", at positions 1 to 878 of the family's 1478-position model. The record is from RNAcentral.